GACGAACGCGGGCGGCGUGCCUAAUACAUGCAAGUAGAACGCUGAAGGAGGAGCUUGCUCUUCUGGAUGAGUUGCGAACGGGUGAGUAACGCGUAGGUAACCUGCCUGGUAGCGGGGGAUAACUAUUGGAAACGAUAGCUAAUACCGCAUAAUAUUGAUUAUUGCAUGAUAGUCAAUUAAAAGGUGCAAUUGCAUCACUACCAGAUGGACCUGCGUUGUAUUAGCUAGUUGGUGAGGUAACGGCUCACCAAGGCGACGAUACAUAGCCGACCUGAGAGGGUGAUCGGCCACACUGGGACUGAGACACGGCCCAGACUCCUACGGGAGGCAGCAGUAGGGAAUCUUCGGCAAUGGACGGAAGUCUGACCGAGCAACGCCGCGUGAGUGAAGAAGGUUUUCGGAUCGUAAAGCUCUGUUGUAAGAGAAGAACGAGUGUGAGAGUGGAAAGUUCACACUGUGACGGUAUCUUACCAGAAAGGGACGGCUAACUACGUGCCAGCAGCCGCGGUAAUACGUAGGUCCCGAGCGUUGUCCGGAUUUAUUGGGCGUAAAGCGAGCGCAGGCGGUUAGAUAAGUCUGAAGUUAAAGGCUGUGGCUUAACCGUAGUACGCUUUGGAAACUGUUUAACUUGAGUGCAAGAGGGGAGAGUGGAAUUCCAUGUGUAGCGGUGAAAUGCGUAGAUAUAUGGAGGAACACCGGUGGCGAAAGCGGCUCUCUGGCUUGUAACUGACGCUGAGGCUCGAAAGCGUGGGGAGCAAACAGG
RNAcentral lists this ribosomal RNA (763 nucleotides) under uncultured Streptococcus sp. RNAcentral's name for it is "bacterial SSU rRNA". It matches the Rfam family "Bacterial small subunit ribosomal RNA", at positions 28 to 776 of the family's 1533-position model. The record is from RNAcentral. Lineage: Bacteria; Bacillati; Bacillota; Bacilli; Lactobacillales; Streptococcaceae.